GACGAACGCUGGCGGCGUGCUUAACACAUGCAAGUCGAACGGAAAGGCCCUGCUUUUGUGGGGUGCUCGAGUGGCGAACGGGUGAGUAACACGUGAGUAACCUGCCCUUGACUUUGGGAUAACUUCAGGAAACUGGGGCUAAUACCGGAUAGGAGCUCCUGCUGCAUGGUGGGGGUUGGAAAGUUUCGGCGGUUGGGGAUGGACUCGCGGCUUAUCAGCUUGUUGGUGGGGUAGUGGCUUACCAAGGCUUUGACGGGUAGCCGGCCUGAGAGGGUGACCGGCCACAUUGGGGCUGAGAUACGGCCCAGACUCCUACGGGAGGCAGCAGUGGUGGAUAUUGCACAAUGGGCGGAAGCCUGAUGCAGCAACGCCGCGUGCGGGAUGACGGCCUUCGGGUUGUAAACCGCUUUCGCCUGUGACGAAGCGUGAGUGACGGUAAUGGGUAAAGAAGCACCGGCUAACUACGUG
This 468-nucleotide ribosomal RNA is filed under the name uncultured bacterium. RNAcentral's name for it is "partial 16S ribosomal RNA". It matches the Rfam family "Bacterial small subunit ribosomal RNA", at positions 28 to 507 of the family's 1533-position model. The record is from RNAcentral.